AUUGAACGCUGGCGGCAGGCCUAACACAUGCAAGUCGGACGGUAGCACAGAGGAGCUUGCUCCUCGGGUGACGAGUGGCGGCCGGGUGAGUAAUGUCUGGGGAUCUGCCCGAUAGAGGGGGAUAACCACUGGAAACGGUGGCUAAUACCGCAUAACGCUGCAAGACCAAAGAGGGGGACCUUCGGGCCUCUCACUAUCGGAUGAACUCAGAUGGGACUAGCUAGUAGGCGGCGUAACGGCCCACCUAGGCGACGAUCCCUAGCUGGGCUGAGAGGAUGACCAGCCACACGGGAGCUGAGACACGGUCCAGACGCCUACGGGAGGCAGCAGUGGGGAAUAUUGCACAAUGGGCGCAAGCCUGAUGCAGCCAUGCCGCGUGUAUGAAGAAGGCCUUCGGGUUGUAAAGUACUUUCAGCGGGGAGGAAGGCGAUGUGGUUAAUAACCGCGUCGAUUGACGUUACCCGCAGAAGAAGCACCGGCUAACUCCGUGCCAGCCGCCGCGGUAA
Molecule: ribosomal RNA, 506 nt
Filed under: uncultured bacterium
Lineage: Bacteria
Description: partial 16S ribosomal RNA
Rfam family: Bacterial small subunit ribosomal RNA
Source: RNAcentral